Molecule: transfer RNA, 71 nt
Filed under: Loxodonta africana (African savanna elephant)
Lineage: Eukaryota; Metazoa; Chordata; Mammalia; Proboscidea; Elephantidae
Rfam family: tRNA
About the family: Transfer RNA (tRNA) molecules are approximately 80 nucleotides in length. Their secondary structure includes four short double-helical elements and three loops (D, anti-codon, and T loops).
Source: Rfam by way of RNAcentral
GGAAUGGUGGUUCAGUGGUAGAACUCUAGCCUUCCAUGUGGGACACCUGGCUUCCAUUCCCAGCCGAUGCA